CGUGUAGGCGGAUAAGCAAGUCGGGUGUGAAAGCCACCGGCUCAACUGGUGAAUUGCACUCGAAACUGCUUUUCUAGAGUACAGAAGAGGAAGGCGGAAUUCUUGGUGUAGCGGUGAAAUGCGUAGAUAUCAAGAAGAACACCUGUGGCGAAGGCGGCUUUCUGGUCUGAUACUGACGCUGAGGCGCGAAAGCGUGGGGAGCAAACA
This 207-nucleotide ribosomal RNA is filed under the name uncultured bacterium. Its description in RNAcentral is "partial 16S ribosomal RNA". It matches the Rfam family "Bacterial small subunit ribosomal RNA", at positions 568 to 774 of the family's 1533-position model. The record is from RNAcentral.